This is a long non-coding RNA of Panthera uncia (snow leopard), 448 nucleotides long. RefSeq lists it as uncharacterized. Lineage: Eukaryota; Metazoa; Chordata; Mammalia; Carnivora; Felidae. The record is from RefSeq and is a predicted model, not a curated record. The transcript has 3 exons.
UGUAAGUGCUAUGAUGGAAACGCUCUUAGGCAUCCUGUAAGCCACAGAUUUACCUGGAAAACAAGACAACUGGGACCCAGAGAAAAUGCCCACAAGCUCACAAGAAACUUUCUAAUUUGUCUUCUCAACUGUUUAUACAUACUAGCUGUUAUAAGAAUGUAUGAUUAUUAUACUUGGGCACAAUGUUUACUUACUUGUGGAAAUUGUGAAAGAUUGUCCUUACAGCAUGUAACGCAUUAUGUCAAGGUAAAACAAUAUCCCUGCCCCUACCGCCUUGUAAUCAAGCUGCUCGAAAGUGGUGGUAUGACUUCAGAAGUUUCAUCCCUUUCACACCAGAUGACCCUGAACUAAGAGGCUGGUAUGAUUCCAGAGAGAAACCUGGAAGCAAAGCGACCUAGAGCUCUCCGGCGAUAUAUGCUCUGUUUUCAGUAAAAUUAGUUGAAACAUG